Molecule: ribosomal RNA, 478 nt
Filed under: uncultured bacterium
Lineage: Bacteria
Description: partial 16S ribosomal RNA
Rfam family: Bacterial small subunit ribosomal RNA
Source: RNAcentral
GACGAACGCUGGCGGCGUGCUUAACACAUGCAAGUCGAGCGAUGAAGUUCCUUCGGGAACGGAUUAGCGGCGGACGGGUGAGUAACACGUGGGUAACCUGCCUCAGAGAGGGGAAUAGCCUUCCGAUAGGAAGAUUAAUACCGCAUAAGAUUGUAGUUUCGCAUGAAACAGCAAUUAAAGGAGUAAUCCGCUAUGAGAUGGACCCGCGUCGCAUUAGCUAGGUGGUGAGGUAACGGCGCACAAAGGCGACGAUGCGGAGCCGAGCUGAGAGGGUGAUGGACCAAUUAGGGACUGAAACACGGCCCAGACUCCUACGGGAGGCAGAAGUGGGGAAUAUUGCACAAUGGGGGACACCCUGAUGCCGCAACGCCGCGUGAGUGAUGACGGUCUUCGGAUUGUAAAACUCUGUCUUCAGGGACGAUAAUGACGGUACCCGAGGAGGAAGCCACGGCUAACUACGUGCCAGCCGCCGCGGUAC